AUGGCCCUAGCAGACGUCGAUGUGGAGAUCGGGGGACUGCCGGCGGAGCACCGUCUGCGGAUCAUCGGCGACGGUUCCGUCGACGACGACGGCAAGCCGAAGAGAACGGGAACCGUAUGGACAGCUAGCGCGCACAUCAUAACGGCGGUGAUCGGCUCCGGCGUGUUGUCCCUGCCCUGGUCCAUGGCGCAGCUUGGCUGGGUCGCUGGGCCGGCCACGCUUGUUGUCUUCGCCGGCGUCACGUACUACACCUCCGUGCUCCUCACCGACUGCUACCGCAGCGGCGACGCCGUCGCCGGGAAGAGGAACUACACCUACAUGGAGGCCGUCGAGUCCUACCUAGGCAGCGGGCAAGUGUGGUUCUGCGGCCUCUGCCAGUACGUCAACCUCGUCGGAACCGCAAUCGGGUACACCAUCACGGCGUCCACCAGCGCCACGGCUCUGUAUAAGGCCAACUGCUUCCACAGCGGCGGCCACUCCGCCGACUGCGGCGUGUACACCACCAUGUACAUGGUCGUGUUCGGGGUCUCCCAAUCAAUGUGA
RNAcentral lists this ribosomal RNA (543 nucleotides) under Triticum aestivum (bread wheat). RNAcentral describes it as "partial small subunit ribosomal RNA". The record is from RNAcentral. Lineage: Eukaryota; Viridiplantae; Streptophyta; Magnoliopsida; Poales; Poaceae.